This 755-nucleotide ribosomal RNA is filed under the name uncultured Actinomyces sp. Its description in RNAcentral is "bacterial SSU rRNA". It matches the Rfam family "Bacterial small subunit ribosomal RNA", at positions 28 to 776 of the family's 1533-position model. Lineage: Bacteria; Bacillati; Actinomycetota; Actinomycetes; Actinomycetales; Actinomycetaceae. The record is from RNAcentral.
GACGAACGCGGGCGGCGUGCUUAACACAUGCAAGUCGAACGAAAAUACCAAGCUUGCUUGGUUGAUUAGUGGCGAACGGGUGAGUAACACGUGAGUAACCUGCCCCUUACUUUCCUGGAUAACUGCUCGAAAGGGUAGCUAAUACGGGAUAUUCUGGCCUUCCUGCAUGGGUUGGUUCGGAAAGGUUGUUUUCUGGUAAGGGAUGGGCUCGCGGCCUAUCAGCUUGUUGGUGGGGUGAUGGCCUACCAAGGCUUUGACGGGUAGCCGGCCUGAGAGGGUGGACGGUCACACUGGGACUGAGAUACGGCCCAGACUCCUACGGGAGGCAGCAGUGGGGAAUAUUGCACAAUGGGCGCAAGCCUGAUGCAGCGACGCCGCGUGAGGGAUGAAGGCCUUCGGGUUGUAAACCUCUUUCGUCAGGGAACAAGGCACUACGUUUUGGUGGUGUUGAGGGUACCUGGAUAGGAAGCGCCGGCUAACUACGUGCCAGCAGCCGCGGUAAUACGUAGGGCGCAAGCGUUGUCCGGAAUUAUUGGGCGUAAAGAGCUCGUAGGCGGCUGGUCGCGUCUGUCGUGAAAACUUCCGGCUCAACCGGGGGCUUGCGGUGGGUACGGGCCGGCUAGAGUGCGGUAGGGGUAACUGGAACUCCUGGUGUAGCGGUGGAAUGCGCAGAUAUCAGGAAGAACACCGAUGGCGAAGGCAGGUUACUGGGCCGUUACUGACGCUGAGGAGCGAAAGCGUGGGGAGCGAACAGG